CAAAAAUGGAAUUUAUAACUCAGUGAUAUUUCCCUGCUUAUUGUGCAAGAGGAGGAGAAGAGUUAUGUGAUAAAUUAACUGUAAAAAGGAGUGGUAACUUGCUUCAUAAGUGUUUCUUGGGCAGAAGUUACCAAAUUGUACUGAAUUAUACUGAGCUGUGGUGGUCUGGAGAUAGCAAUAAACUAAAUGAAAUGUACCCUAUGGCUUCUGCUGACAUCUGUGGGAGAGGUGAAAUCACAGGUACAAAUCAGAGCCUUUGUGAAGAAGAAAUGGUGAUAGAACAGAGUGCUUGGGCCUGUAGAGACUACUGCCUCCUUCUCUUUAUAGCAGACAAAUAUAACUGAAAUGGACUUUCAGAAAGGACCUAAGCCAUGAUUUUUAACUUUCAGUCCUCUCUGAAUAAAUUACUGCUUAUGAUCAGCUUCAUUA
Molecule: long non-coding RNA, 429 nt
Organism: Aquila chrysaetos chrysaetos
Lineage: Eukaryota; Metazoa; Chordata; Aves; Accipitriformes; Accipitridae
Exons: 3
Source: RefSeq, a predicted model, not a curated record